ACAAAUGAUUGUUUCUGUAAUUCAAUUACAAUUAAAAAAAAUUGCACAGCCAUACGUUCAAAUCCAAGGAUUGCUUUCCAAAAAUUAAGUUCACAAAAGUACAAUAGGACAAAAGAUUUAGCUCUGACUUGCAAAAACAAUUCAAGCAGACAAACAUGUUUAAUAAACUUUGGCAGUAGUUUGAUAAGCUGGACAGCACAUCAAAUAGGUCUUCAUAAAUCAAUAUGUUCACCGAUUUUACAUAUUUUCUGCAGACCAUAUUAAUUGAUGUGGUAUCAUAAUUCCCCAACCUCCAAGAACAAAUUAAAAACUACUCGUAGAACCAGUAAAGGAUUGUAAGGUCAAAACAACACAGAUGGGCCUAAUUGUUUGAUCAAAUUUCAUGAUGAAGAGAGACAAGAAAGAUCGAUGAGAACAAAACACCAUACAUCAAUGAAGAUACUCAGCGAACCAAUUCGGGAAUCGAAGAAAACAGAUCCAAAUCACUACUUCCACAUAAACACAUGAAAUCAAAAAUAGUUAUGGCCAAUUAAAUAUAUAAAAGUUAAGAAUUAACCUGAAAUUCCUUUCAAUUAAUAAAAUUUCAGCGGUUAUACAGACUGAAUCGAAGAUACCGUUGCGACUGGAACUCGACACGAUGAUCCUCAAACCGGCAGCCUCGAACACUGGACUGUUUCCUGGAUCUGAGUUUAACCGGACAGACUCACAAAGAUAGGGAUGUGGACAUGACAACGAAUAGAAUUCAGGCCUUCGCCUUUGAGUAGAAGAACAAAAACAACUCCGUGCGUGUGUGUGUUUCCGACGAGUCCUGUGACAGGUUGGUAUUUGCUAUGAUGUGGAAGCUUUUCCGAUGGAGAGGUCUGUAGUUUUGGUUUGUGGAAGAAGAAGGAAGAAGAACGCUGAGAGAAAGUGUUGUUCCUUUUAGAGCUGCGCAUCCUUUUUAUUUUGUUCUCUCUCGUUGCAGAAUGUCUCCCUCUCCUCGGUCCUGUGCUCUCUAUGUUUUUGCUCCCUGUUAUUUUCGUUCACUUUCUCCCUUUUUUCUCGUUUUUUCUUAUGUCUGUUGCCUCCUGUUAUCCUCUAUCUCUCCCCUUUGUUUUCCCUCUAUUAUGUGAUGUAUAUAGAUUGCUUGGGGCCAAAGUUGUAUGAGUUGGAGGGAAU
This 1158-nucleotide long non-coding RNA is filed under the name Nicotiana benthamiana. RNAcentral's name for it is "long non-coding RNA (NBEN_LNC012078)". The record is from RNAcentral. Lineage: Eukaryota; Viridiplantae; Streptophyta; Magnoliopsida; Solanales; Solanaceae.